This 208-nucleotide long non-coding RNA is filed under the name Physcomitrium patens. RNAcentral's name for it is "long non-coding RNA (PPAT_LNC010828)". The record is from RNAcentral. Lineage: Eukaryota; Viridiplantae; Streptophyta; Bryopsida; Funariales; Funariaceae.
UUUGACCUUCAACUUCAAUAAAUUCUUCAUCCGUGAGCUUCAUCAACUUCAAAUUGGCCUCCAAAGGUGUUCUAAUAGACUUACACUCCUCCAUAUUGAAUCAACACUUCUUCAAUAUACUUGCUCUAGCUCAUUGUAAUAGUCUUCUUAGCGCGAUCUCUUACAAAUACCAUUCCUAAACAAUAGUGAAGCUCUCCUAAAUCACUCA